UGGGGAAUAUUGGACAAUGGGCGCAAGCCUGAUCCAGCCAUGCCGCGUGUGUGAAGAAGGCCUUCGGGUUGUAAAGCACUUUCAGCGAGGAGGAAGGGUGGUGUGUUAAUAGCACAUCAUUUUGACGUUACUCGCAGAAGAAGCACCGGCUAACUCUGUGCCAGCAGCCGCGGUAAUACAGAGGGUGCAAGCGUUAAUCGGAAUUACUGGGCGUAAAGCGCACGUAGGCGGUUUUUUAAGUCAGAUGUGAAAGCCCCGGGCUCAACCUGGGAAUUGCAUUUGAAACUGGGAAACUAGAGUGUGUGAGAGGGGGGUUAGAAAUUCCAAGUGUAGCGGUGAAAUGCGUAGAGAUUUGGAGGAAUACCAGUGGCGAAGGCGGCCCCCUGGCACAACACUGACGCUCAGGUGCGAAAGCGUGGGGAGCAAACAGGAUUAGAUGCCCUGGUAGUCCACGCCGUAAAACGAUGUCUACUAGCUGUUCGUGACCUUGUGUUGUGAGUAGCGCAGCUAACGCACUAAGUAGACCGCCUGGGGAGUACGGUCGCAAGAUUAAAA
RNAcentral lists this ribosomal RNA (555 nucleotides) under uncultured bacterium. RNAcentral describes it as "partial 16S ribosomal RNA". It matches the Rfam family "Bacterial small subunit ribosomal RNA", at positions 355 to 899 of the family's 1533-position model. The record is from RNAcentral.